RNAcentral lists this transfer RNA (61 nucleotides) under Brucella pseudogrignonensis. Its description in RNAcentral is "tRNA-Arg". It matches the Rfam family "tRNA", at positions 14 to 71 of the family's 71-position model. Rfam says of the family: Transfer RNA (tRNA) molecules are approximately 80 nucleotides in length. The record is from RNAcentral. Lineage: Bacteria; Pseudomonadati; Pseudomonadota; Alphaproteobacteria; Hyphomicrobiales; Brucellaceae.
AGAUGGGUACCCUGCCCUCCGAAGGCAGAGGUCACUGGUUCGAAUCCAGUCGGGUGCGCCA